AGAGUUUGAUCAUGGCUCAGAAUCAACGCUGGCGGCGUGCCUAACACAUGCAAGUCGAGCGAGAAAGUGUAGCAAUACAUGAGUACAGCGGCGCACGGGUGAGUAACACGUGGGUAAUCUGCCCUCGAGUGGGGAAUAACACCGGGAAACCGGUGCUAAUACCGCAUACGAUCACGAUUUCUUCGGAUUUUGUGAUGAAAGGAGCAAUUCGCUCUUGGAGGAGCCCGCGGCUGAUUAGCUAGUUGGUGAGGUAAUGGCUCACCAAGGCAACGAUCAGUAGCCGGUCUGAGAGGACGGUCGGCCACACUGGAACUGAGACACGGUCCAGACUCCUACGGGAGGCAGCAGUGGGGAAUUUUUCGCAAUGGGGGCAACCCUGACGAAGCAACGCCGCGUGGAUGAUGAAGUAUCUCGGUACGUAAAAUCCUUUCGGCGGGGAAGAAAACCGCAAGGUUUGACGGUACCCGUAGAAGAAGCCCCGGCUAACUCCGUGCCAGCAGCCGCGGUAAUACGGGGGGGGCAAGCGUUGUUCGGAAUUACUGGGCGUAAAGGGCGCGUAGGCGGUUCGCUAAGUUGAAUGUGAAAACUCUGGGCUUAACCCAGAGCCUGCAUUCAAUACUGGCGGGCUAGAGUUCUGGAGGGGAUAGCGGAAUUCCUGGUGUAGCGGUGAAAUGCGUAGAUAUCAGGAGGAACACCGGUGGCGAAGGCGGCUAUCUGGACAGAGUCUGACGCUGAGGCGCGAAAGCUAGGGGAGCAAACAGGAUUAGAUACCCUAGUAGUCC
Molecule: ribosomal RNA, 782 nt
Filed under: uncultured bacterium
Lineage: Bacteria
Description: bacterial SSU rRNA
Rfam family: Bacterial small subunit ribosomal RNA
Source: RNAcentral